Molecule: transfer RNA, 92 nt
Filed under: Streptomyces umbrinus
Lineage: Bacteria; Bacillati; Actinomycetota; Actinomycetes; Kitasatosporales; Streptomycetaceae
Description: tRNA-Ser
Source: RNAcentral
CAGGCCGUGCCGGGUGAGGAUGCGGUGCACGGUCGAGGCGAGCGGGCCAAGGAUCGGGCCCAGGCGUGCAGGUCCCGAUCCUGCGGGUCUGC